AUGAAUAUCCUAGCAUGGAACUGCCGGGGGGAACCGCGGACAGUUCGUGAGGUUGUGGCCCUCUCAAAAGCCAAUAACCCCAAGCUUGUUUUCCUUUGCGAAACCAGGAAAGCAUCAAAUAGAGUGGAGAACUUGAGAUGGAGACUUGGUCUGAAAGGUUUCCAUGGUGUGUGUAGUGACGGUCGGAGUGGAGGUUUAGCGCUCUUUUGGGACGAAUCUCUCUCAUGGAGGAGUACUUUUGUUUACGGGGAACCACGAGUUGAAAACAGACAUAACAUGUGGGAUCAUCUAACCAGGCUACGAGUUGCAUCCCCGUUACCUUGGUUUGUUUGUGGAGAUUUCAACGAAGCUUUGUGGCAACAUGAGCAUCUUUCUAGGAUGAUGCGAGCAGAACCCCAGAUGGCAGCCUUUCGAGACUGUCUUAUUCUAUGUGAGCUCGAUGAUCUAGGCUUCAGUGGUAUUCCCUACACAUACAAUAACGGGCAGGAUGGUAACCACAAUGUGCAAGUACGUCUUGACCGUGCAUGUGCGGAUGAAACGUGGAGAGAGUUGUUUCCAGCUGCUAGGGUUGUGCACCUAGCUUCGUCGUGUUCUGACCAUAGCCCACUCCUAGUGCAGCAGCAAGGAGUGCAGGGAGACCGAAGGAGGUGCGCAAACCCAAGGUAUGAGAUCAUGUGGGAGAGGCAUCAGGCGCUCCCGGAGAUAAUUGCAAAAUCAUGGGCUACUAGCAAACCUAGUGGGAACCUGAACUCGGUGGCGGCUGCAUUAAAGCAGCUCAUGACAGACCUGAAGCAAUGGAGUGCUGCAAAGUUCGAAAAUGUCCUGAAGGAGAUAGAACUCCUCCGUUCUCAACUUGCUGACCUACAGCUCUCUGGUGCGGAUCGGGCUCUUCUUUGA
Molecule: ribosomal RNA, 897 nt
Filed under: Triticum aestivum (bread wheat)
Lineage: Eukaryota; Viridiplantae; Streptophyta; Magnoliopsida; Poales; Poaceae
Description: partial small subunit ribosomal RNA
Source: RNAcentral